AUUACUAAGCGGAGGAAAAGAAACCAACCGGGAUUCCCAUAGUAACGGCGAGUGAAGUGGGACGAGCCCAGCACCGAAUCGCACGCCGUCGGGCGUCGCGAACUGUGGUGUUUAGGACGAGCGCCUGCACGUCGGGAUGGCAUCGGAGUCCUCCUGAUCGGGGCGGCCAGAGUGGGUGUUAGCCCUCUACGGUGCCGAACCGGCGUGCCCGCCACGUCCUCGGAGUCGGGUUGCUUGAGAUCGCAGCCCAAAGUUGGUGGUAAACUCCAUCUAAGGCUAAAUACUGACGCGAGUCCGAUAGCGAACAAGUACCGUGAGGGAAAGUU
Molecule: ribosomal RNA, 326 nt
Filed under: Albanidrilus wellsi
Lineage: Eukaryota; Metazoa; Annelida; Clitellata; Tubificida; Naididae
Description: eukaryotic LSU rRNA
Rfam family: Eukaryotic large subunit ribosomal RNA
Source: RNAcentral